UACAGAGGUCUCAAGCGUUGUUCGGAUUCAUUGGGCGUAAAGGGUGCGUAGGCGGCGCGGUAAGUCGGGUGUGAAAUCUCAGAGCUCAACUCUGAAACUGCACUCGAUACUGCUUUGCUUGAGGACUGGAGAGGAGAUUGGAAUUCACGGUGUAGCAGUGAAAUGCGUAGAUAUCGUGAGGAAGACCAGUGGCGAAGGCGGGUCUCUGGGCCGAUACUGACGCUGAGGAGCGAAAGCGUGGGGAGCGAACAGG
Molecule: ribosomal RNA, 253 nt
Filed under: uncultured bacterium
Lineage: Bacteria
Description: partial 16S ribosomal RNA
Rfam family: Bacterial small subunit ribosomal RNA
Source: RNAcentral